This 344-nucleotide ribosomal RNA is filed under the name uncultured bacterium. RNAcentral describes it as "partial 16S ribosomal RNA". It matches the Rfam family "Bacterial small subunit ribosomal RNA", at positions 338 to 699 of the family's 1533-position model. The record is from RNAcentral.
CCUACGGGAGACAGCAGUAGGGAAUAUUGCUCAAUGGGGGAAACCCUGAAGCAGCAACGCCGCGUGGAGGAUGAAGGUUUUCGGAUUGUAAACUCCUUUUGUUAGAGAAGAUAAUGACGGUAUCUAACGACUAAGCACCGGCCAACUCCGUGCCAGCAGCCGCGGUACUACGGAGGGUGCAAGCGUUACUCGGAAUCACUGGGCGAAAAGAGCGCGUAGGCGGGAUAGCAAGUCAGAUGUGAAAUCCUAUGGCUUAACCAUAGAACUGCAAUUGAAACUGUUAUUCUAGAGUAUGGGAGAGGUAGGUGGAAUUCUUGGUGUAGGGGUAAACACCGUAGAGAGCA